GCCGCGGUAGCUCAGGCAGUAGAGCACAGCUCUGAAAAAGCUGGGGUCGCCAGUGCAAGUCUGGCCCGCGGCACAA
RNAcentral lists this transfer RNA (76 nucleotides) under Parcubacteria group bacterium. RNAcentral's name for it is "tRNA-Phe". It matches the Rfam family "tRNA". Rfam says of the family: Transfer RNA (tRNA) molecules are approximately 80 nucleotides in length. Their secondary structure includes four short double-helical elements and three loops (D, anti-codon, and T loops). The record is from RNAcentral.